AACGCGAAGAACCUUACCUACCCUUGACAUGUACGGAAGCCCGCUGAGAGGUGGGUGUGCCCGAAAGGGAGCCGUAACACAGGUGCUGCAUGGCUGUCGUCAGCUCGUGUCGUGAGAUGUUGGGUUAAGUCCCGCAACGAGCGCAACCCUUGUCACUAGUUGCUACGAAAGGGCACUCUAGUGAGACUGCCGGUGACAAACCGGAGGAAGGUGGGGAUGACGUCAAGUCCUCAUGGCCCUUAUGGGUAGGGCUUCACACGUCAUACAAUGGCGCAUACAGAGGGCUGCCAACCCGCGAGGGGGAGCCAAUCCCAGAAAGUGCGUCGUAGUCCGGAUUGCAGUCUGCAACUCGACUGCAUGAAGUCGGAAUCGCUAGUAAUCGCGGAUCAGCAAUGUCGCGGUGAAUACGUUCCCGGGUCUUGUACACACCG
Molecule: ribosomal RNA, 431 nt
Filed under: uncultured bacterium
Lineage: Bacteria
Description: bacterial SSU rRNA
Rfam family: Bacterial small subunit ribosomal RNA
Source: RNAcentral